CCGAAGCGCGCAUACCGUUUGGUGGAUUCCAAGACAAUACUUUACUCACGAGCGGUGGCAGCGCGUCCAUUGUUUAAUUGCUGUUUCUGUGGUGUUGACCAUGACAUUGGCGAAGGAAAGUAGAAUGAUGCACAGGUCAAUUUGGCGAAUACCAUGCCUCAGUUAGCAAGAUGUGCUAACUGUUGCAAUCGUUUCCAUUGCCUUAUGUGCCCAGUAACGAUGUUUAAACCGACAACGUACUACGUGCUCAAAUGCAUGUAGAGUCACACGCAAAGAACGGAAUUUCAUUCCAAGUCUGACAUGCCAAAGAUAAGGAAAUGGAGGUGCCUAACUGAUGAACAGUGGUCUGGAAAAACAUGGACAGAGGUUUGCCUUUUGGACUGAGGAAGCUUCACACCUGCUGAAAGCGAACUUGGAGCUUGGAGCCUCUCCGGCUGUUCUCAGACCUGUGUCAUAGGAGUCGCGCAUCAUGAGGGACCUCUGCAGUGCCGUGUGCUGGAUUCACAAGAAUCACUCCCUCUUCCAUGGAAAGGUGACAGAAGCUGCCGUUCUCCAGAUGGAGGCUGAGGAUCAACAGGAAGCAUUCAGGGAGGUUAUAUUUAUUUUUCAUAAUAGGGAGGACAUGGAAACCUUCAUCUCUAAUUGUGUUGACGGGAUGGGUCUUAAACUUCAUGCCAUGUUUGCGUAAUACGAAUUGUUUUCCAUCCAUCCACCAUCUCCCGCUUUAUCCGAGGUCGGGUCGCAGGGGCAGCAGUCUCACCAGGGAAACCCAGACUUCCCUCUUCCCUCGAAUUGUUUUCCUCAUUCUUUUAUUCUGUUCAUUAUACUGCUUUUUUGCACAUUCGUUCUAAUUUAAUUAUACAUUGAUACGCUACCUACAAAUAAAAUGUUGUUUGCCAAA
Long non-coding RNA from Paramormyrops kingsleyae, 901 nucleotides. RefSeq lists it as uncharacterized. NCBI's taxonomy places the organism in Eukaryota, Metazoa, Chordata, Actinopteri, Osteoglossiformes, Mormyridae. The record is from RefSeq and is a predicted model, not a curated record.